RNAcentral lists this ribosomal RNA (253 nucleotides) under uncultured bacterium. RNAcentral's name for it is "partial 16S ribosomal RNA". It matches the Rfam family "Bacterial small subunit ribosomal RNA", at positions 524 to 776 of the family's 1533-position model. The record is from RNAcentral.
GACGAACCGUGCGAACGUUAUUCGGAAUCACUGGGCUUAAAGGGCGCGUAGGCGGGUCAUCAAGUCAGGGGUGAAAUACUUCGGCCUAACCGGAGAACGGCUUCUGAUACUGGUGACCUCGAGGGGUGUAGGGGCAUGUGGAACUUCCGGUGGAGCGGUGAAAUGCGUAGAUAUCGGAAGGAACGCCGGUGGCGAAAGCGACGUGCUGGACACCUUCUGACGCUGAGGCGCGAAAGCCAGGGGAGCAAACGGG